Long non-coding RNA from Corythoichthys intestinalis (scribbled pipefish), 742 nucleotides. RefSeq lists it as uncharacterized. The record is from RefSeq and is a predicted model, not a curated record. NCBI's taxonomy places the organism in Eukaryota, Metazoa, Chordata, Actinopteri, Syngnathiformes, Syngnathidae. The transcript is spliced from 10 exons.
AUUUGUUUUGUCUGGUCCUUUGUAGUUUGAAUGUUGUCACAUGAUCCAAAUAGGACAAGCUGCAAGAUCACCACCCCAUUGGGAAGAAACUAAAUCACGACCCCCAAAUGGUAGUCUUCCCAUGCAGAUACAGGGAUGUCACACAGAUCCAAAUGGAAACAUCGAACACUGUAAAACCCACUGUGCAGACAGGACCAAUGGUGACAAUAUAAGACCAUGUCGAGUUUCAUGGACGGUUCAAACUCAUCCUGCCCAGGAACGGCUGAUAUGAAAUGCAUAUUUAUAACUUGUCUAACAAGUAGCUCAUUCAAAGAAAACGUUGACAGUCAAUCAACAGGGGGACAUGGAAAGAGAGGAUUGGAAGUGAAAUAGAGGGUUUUUCGGGACAGCCAUAGGGGAAGGACUGUGGCAUCUUCAUGUUGAUGACUGAUAUGCCAACUCUGAGGAAGUGGUGGUGUAUAUUGCUAGCGGACAAUUUCAAACUUGGGUGCAUGGUGAGCCACAGGAAAGAGUUUGCCCAUUGGACAGAUAAGGCAAAAGCAUUACUGCAGGGUGAAGUGCCACCAGUCUAUCAGCUACAGAAGUGAAAUUUGAAUAUAAUUGCUGAGGAAGAGGUGCAACCACAGCUCCUUCAAGUUAGUGGUGGCCCACUCCAAAAAGAUAUGACGGGAAAAAAAUGUUUUGGUAAAAGGACUGUGCAAGACUGCACAAAAGCCUCAGACAGGGCGGGGGGGGGGGGGGG